RNAcentral lists this ribosomal RNA (369 nucleotides) under uncultured bacterium. RNAcentral describes it as "bacterial SSU rRNA". It matches the Rfam family "Bacterial small subunit ribosomal RNA", at positions 29 to 423 of the family's 1533-position model. The record is from RNAcentral.
AGCGAACGCUGGCGGCAGGCCUAACACAUGCAAGUCGAGCGGCCGUAGCAAUACGGCAGCGGCAGACGGGAGAGUAACACGUGGGAACGUGCCCUUUGGUUCGGAAUAACGCAGGGAAACUUGCGCUAAUACCGGAUAAGCCCUUACGGGGAAAGAUUUAUCGCCAAUGGAGCGGCCCGCGUCUGAUUAGCUAGUUGGUGAGGUAACGGCUCACCAAGGCUACGAUCAGUAGCUGAUCUGAGAGGAUGAUCAGCCUCACUGGGACUGAGACACGGCCCAGACUCCUACGGGAGGCAGCAGUGGGGAAUAUUGGACAAUGGGCGCAAGCCUGAUCCAGCAAUGCCGCGUGAGUGAGGAAGGCCUUCGGUU